Molecule: ribosomal RNA, 410 nt
Filed under: uncultured bacterium
Lineage: Bacteria
Also listed under: 3 other names
Description: partial 16S ribosomal RNA
Rfam family: Bacterial small subunit ribosomal RNA
Source: RNAcentral
UGGGGAAUAUUGCACAAUGGGCGGAAGCCUGAUGCAGCGACGCCGCGUGGGGGAUGACGGCCUUCGGGUUGUAAACCUCUUUCGACAGGGACGAAGUGAAAAUGACGGUACCUGUAUAAGAAGCACCGGCUAACUACGUGCCAGCAGCCGCGGUAAUACGUAGGGUGCGAGCGUUGUCCGGAAUUACUGGGCGUAAAGAGCUCGUAGGUGGUUUGUCACGUCGUCUGUGAAAUUCCGGGGCUUAACCUCGGGCGUGCAGGCGAUACGGGCAAUACUUGAGUGCUGUAGGGGAGACUGGAAUUCCUGGUGUAGCGGUGAAAUGCGCAGAUAUCAGGAGGAACACCAAUGGCGAAGGCAGGUCUCUGGGCAGUUACUGACGCUGAGGAGCGAAAGCAUGGGUAGCGAACAGG